UUGGAGGGCAAGUCUGGUGCCAGCAGCCGCGGUAAUUCCAGCUCCAAUAGCGUAUAUUAAAGUUGUUGCAGUUAAAAAGCUCGUAGUUGAAUUUCGGGAUCGACGGGUCGGUCGCGCCUCUGGUGUGUACUGGCCUCACUGAUUCCUCCCUCUUGUAGAACCGUGAUGCCAUUAACUUGGUGUUGCGGGGAAACAGGACUGUUACUUUGAAAAAAUUAGAGUGUUUAAAGCAGGCUCACGCUUGAAUACAUUAGCAUGGAAUAACGGAAUAGGACGUUUGAUUCUAUUUUGUUGGUUUCUAGGAUCGACGUAAUGAUUAAUAGGGAUAGUUGGGGGCAUUAGUAUUCAAUUGUCAGAGGUGAAAUUCUUGGAUUUAUUGAAGACUAACUACUGCGAAAGCAUUUGCCAAGGAUGUUUUCAUUAAUCAAGAACGAAAGUUAGGGGAUCGAAGACGAUCAGAUACCGUCGUAGUCUUAACCAUAAACUAUGCCGACUAGGGAUCGGAUGAUGUUAAUUUUUUAAUGACUCAUUCGGCGCCUUACGGGAAAC
This 549-nucleotide ribosomal RNA is filed under the name uncultured Glomus. RNAcentral's name for it is "SSU rRNA". It matches the Rfam family "Eukaryotic small subunit ribosomal RNA", at positions 548 to 1098 of the family's 1831-position model. The record is from RNAcentral. Lineage: Eukaryota; Fungi; Glomeromycota; Glomeromycetes; Glomerales; Glomeraceae.